CCUACGGGUGGCAGCAGUGAGGAAUAUUCGUCAAUGGGCGGAAGCCUGAACCAGCCAAGUCGCGUGCAGGAUGACGGCCCUACGGGUUGUAAACUGCUUUUAUACGGGAAUAACGCGCCUUACGUGAAGGGCUUUGCAUGUACCGUAUGAAUCAGGACCGGCUAAUCUCGUGCCAUCAGCCGCGGUACUACGGAAGGUCCGUGCGUUAUCCGGAUUUAUUGGGUUUAAAGGGAGCGUAGGCCGCAUGUCAAGCGUGCUGUGAAAUGUCCGGGCUCAACCCGGGCCUUGCAGCGCGAACUGGCGUGCUUGAGUCCGCGGAAGGCAGGCGGAAUUCGUGGUGUAGCGGUGAAAUGCUUAGAUAUGACGAAGAACCCCGAUUGCGAAGGCAGCUUGCUGCAGCGGAACUGACGCUGAUGCUCGAAAGCGCGGGUAUCGAACAGGAUUAGAUACCCUAGUAGUC
RNAcentral lists this ribosomal RNA (460 nucleotides) under uncultured bacterium. RNAcentral's name for it is "partial 16S ribosomal RNA". It matches the Rfam family "Bacterial small subunit ribosomal RNA", at positions 338 to 795 of the family's 1533-position model. The record is from RNAcentral.